This 518-nucleotide ribosomal RNA is filed under the name uncultured Bacillaceae bacterium. RNAcentral's name for it is "bacterial SSU rRNA". It matches the Rfam family "Bacterial small subunit ribosomal RNA", at positions 69 to 573 of the family's 1533-position model. Lineage: Bacteria; Bacillati; Bacillota; Bacilli; Caryophanales; Bacillaceae. The record is from RNAcentral.
UGAAUGAAAGCUUGCUUUCAUUCGGUUAGCGGCGGACGGGUGAGUAACACGUGGGCAACCUGCCCGUAAGACCGGGAUAACUUCGGGAAACCGGAGCUAAUACCGGAUAACACCGAAGAUCGCAUGAUCUUUGGUUGAAAGGCGGCUUUGGCUGUCACUUACGGAUGGGCCCGCGGCGCAUUAGCUAGUUGGUGAGGUAACGGCUCACCAAGGCGACGAUGCGUAGCCGACCUGAGAGGGUGAUCGGCCACACUGGGACUGAGACACGGCCCAGACUCCUACGGGAGGCAGCAGUAGGGAAUCUUCCGCAAUGGACGAAAGUCUGACGGAGCAACGCCGCGUGAGCGAAGAAGUCUUCGGAUUGUAAAGCUCUGUUGUUAGGGAAGAACAAGUACCGUUCGAAGAGGGCGGUACCGUGACGGUACCUAACGAGAAAGCCACGGCUAACUACGUGCCGCAGCCGCGGUAAUACGUAGUGGCAAGCGUUGUCCGGAAUUAUUGGGCGUAAAGCGCGCGCA